CCUCCCUCAGAAAAAAAAGAAAAACCUCACUCAGGAUUUGUUUAACCAGUGAUUUAACAAAGGGAUCAGUUUCAGUAUGAAGCAAAUCAGAAAUCGUACAUCUGAAGAAACGAAACCAAAUCUCAAAUUCAUAGAAGAAAGAAACGAAGCCAUGGCGGCUCCAUAACUCAGAGAAAUCGAGAAGAUGAAGAUUAAUCUGCUACUGUGGGUCUGGUGAUUUUGAAAUGCAAGAGACGAAGAAAAGACGAUGAAAAUUGAUAGAGAGACCAAUCUUUCUGUUGAUGAAGAAAUCAGAUCGAGAUGAAAUUGGUUCGACUGAAUUGCAAGAGCUGAAAGAACACUGAUUUGAACCCUAACUUGGUCGUUGCCAUCUUCACUGAAAUCUGGGUAACUGCCCAUACGACCAACACACUAAAACCCCCAUAAAUCUGUUGCCCUCGCUGCUGUAUCUCUCAGACAAACCCAUUUCGGAUCUGGGUUUAGAAAUCCCCAAAUUGAUUGGAAUCUCAACCUGGCUCAAACACCCAUCAAUUCCAUCCAGCAAACUCAUUAUCAGAUCCACCUUCAGCUGCCUUGUCAAACCUUAAUUCUCUCAAGAACAACGAAUUCCAGUUUGAUUUCAUCGAUUCAUAAAUUUAUUUUGCGUGUGUGUUUGAAGAUUAAUUUUUUUUUUUUUAAAUAUUCAAGGGUUCGUGAAAUGGGGAUGUUGGAGGGUGAGAGUGGCGGUUCAUCACCGUCUAUGUCGAUGGUGAAGAAGAAGCUUGGUGUUACAAAUCCAAUUUCAAUUGCUGGUCCGACUGAAUCUGAUUUGCAGAGAAGCUUAGAAUUGGGAAAGGCAUGAGUUUGUGGGGAUUUCGGAUUUGUUUUGUUUGUUUGAUUGUUUUUGUGAAGUUUUUGGUGGAUUCUGGAUUAUACGAAAGUAAAGAAGAAGCUGCUCAAAGAGAAGAGAUUCUGAGUCAGAUCAAUCUGGUAAAAAUUGAGUCAGGAGGAUGAAGCUCGAAACUUUUUUCAACAGAUUAAUUCUGGGGUGGAGUACUGCCACCGGCACAUGGUAGUUCAUCGAGAUCUUAAGCCUGAGAACCUGCUGCUGAUGAUGAGAUAGUAGUGAUGACCACAGCCUUGAAGGAGGAUCCACUGGAAUCAAGAGCAGUGACGAAGAAUAAGGAGACUGUUACGCUCAUGCUUCCACUGAUGAAGACGGAGAUGAAUCAUCUGAAUCACCAUUGUCAUCAUCAUUAUAGGAAGAAGAAGUCAGAGUUGCUGAGAAGAAGAACAAGAAGAAGCGCAGUCAUUUGAGGACUAAAGAUGAGGAUAUCGCAUUGAGAAAUAGAGUCUUUAUCUGUUACCUUCCAUGGUCAUGAUCUCAUAGUGGAUUCUGAAAUGGAGCUCAAUUAUGGCAGGCGUUACGGUUUGCUUGGUUUGAAUGUUUGUGGAAAGUCUACUAUCUUAACUGCAAUUGGAAAAAAGGGAGCCUCCUAUUCUGGAUAUUUACCAUCUGUUAUAAAUUGUGAUGACGAGAGGCUGAAAUUGGAAAAAGAAGCUGAACGUUUGGCUGAACAGGAUGAUGGUGGUGGAGAAGCUCUAGAUCGUGUUUAUGAACGGUUGGAGUCUUUGGAUGUUGCAACAGCUGAGAAACGUGCAGCUUGAAUUCUGUUUGGUCUUGGUUUUGACAAGAAUAUGCAAGCCAAGAAAACACGGGAUAGUUAUGGAAUUAUAGAGUACCAGGAUGUUGAUGCUUGCAGCCCAAGAUGUUGCUGCACGGUGCAAGGGCAAUGCAGGGAGCUGGACAACAGAGGAAGAAACCGCACUGAAAGAAGGUGUCCAGAAGCAUGGUAAAUGAAAUCUCAGCACUUGCUCAAAGAGCUUAAUAUGACUAUGGAGGUGUUCUAUGGACUUCCUAGCCAGGUGCGAGACCAACUUGUAAAGACUCAGCGCAAUGCUGGGACCUUUAAUAUGUUGAUUCAGAAAGAAAGCUUGCUCGUAGCUCUGUAUUUGAGACCAAUAGUGUCAGAUAAAAUCAACUUAGGGAUAGCUGGGAAGAUGGCAAUCCUGGUUCAUGGGGGUCAAGCCUGCAACCAUAGGGGAUUUGGAGAGGCACUUUGAUGCAUAUGGGAAGAUCUUGAAUAUUUUUUUUAGUGUUAUUAGAUUACUAUCUUGGAGAUCUGAUCUUGUUUUCAAAUACAUGGUUAUUAAAGUAUUACAGAUUUAAUUUUGUA
Papaver somniferum (opium poppy) is the source of this 2216-nucleotide long non-coding RNA. RefSeq lists it as uncharacterized. NCBI's taxonomy places the organism in Eukaryota, Viridiplantae, Streptophyta, Magnoliopsida, Ranunculales, Papaveraceae. The record is from RefSeq and is a predicted model, not a curated record. The transcript has 7 exons.